This 54-nucleotide transfer RNA is filed under the name Fusarium acuminatum CS5907. RNAcentral describes it as "tRNA-Glu". Lineage: Eukaryota; Fungi; Ascomycota; Sordariomycetes; Hypocreales; Nectriaceae. The record is from RNAcentral.
UCUAUAGGAAUACUAGGAUUUAUAGUAUGAUCUCAUCAUAUGUAUACUGUAGGG